UACGUAGGCAGCGAGCGUUGUUCGGAAUUACUGGGCGUAAAGAGUGUGUAGGCGGUGCUCCCAGUCUGUUGUGAAAUCUCCCGGCUUAACUGGGAGGGUGCAGCGGAAACUAGAGUGCUAGAGGGUGGGAGAGGUAAGCGGAAUUCCUGGUGUAGCGGUGAAAUGCGUAGAGAUGUGGAGGAACACCAGUGGCGAAGGCGACUCUUUGGUCUGUAACUGACGCUGAGGCGCGAAAGCGUGGGGAGCAAACAGG
RNAcentral lists this ribosomal RNA (253 nucleotides) under uncultured bacterium. Its description in RNAcentral is "partial 16S ribosomal RNA". It matches the Rfam family "Bacterial small subunit ribosomal RNA", at positions 524 to 776 of the family's 1533-position model. The record is from RNAcentral.